This 438-nucleotide ribosomal RNA is filed under the name Triticum aestivum (bread wheat). RNAcentral describes it as "partial small subunit ribosomal RNA". The record is from RNAcentral. Lineage: Eukaryota; Viridiplantae; Streptophyta; Magnoliopsida; Poales; Poaceae.
AUGGCGCGUGUCACGGCGGCGGGCGGCGUGGUGUUCAACUACGGCGGGGUGCUGCGCGUGCAGGGGAUCCUUGCCAAGACGCGCGCGCUAGGGCACAUGCUCCUCAAGCCUGAAGUGAUAUGUGAGCCAGAAAUUACCAUAACUGCGAGGUCGGAGGAUGAUGAUUUCAUGAUCCUUGCAAGCGAUGGAUUGUGGGAUGUGAUGUCAAACACGGUGGCCUGCAGAGAAACCUUGAAAUGCUUAGAAGAUAAGAGCACCAAUGCUGGCACAAUGGUAGGCCGCGAAGAAGAGGUUCGGUGUAUAUGCGCUACGUUCCACCUCACGGAUCUCGCCUUCCGUAUGCAUAGCCGAGAUGACAUAUGUGUGGUUGUGAUUGAUCUAAAGAUCAGGGGUUAUCUACAAAGAUCAGAUCACCAUCUCUACAAGUUACAAAUUUGA